AAUGUGCUCAUCGGCGCCUGACCCUGAGAUGUGGAUCAGGCGGUAAUGAUAGUAUCUUGUACCUGAUCCGGUG
Molecule: transfer RNA, 73 nt
Filed under: Solanum urubambaense
Lineage: Eukaryota; Viridiplantae; Streptophyta; Magnoliopsida; Solanales; Solanaceae
Description: tRNA-Ala
Source: RNAcentral